CGUAUAAGGGCAUAUGGUGGAUGCCUUGGCAUCAAGUGGCGAUGAAGGACGUGGCGUAGCUGCGAUAAGCCUCGGGGAGGUGCCUAGCAACCUUUGAUCCGGGGAUUUCCGAAUGGGGAAACCCUCUGUGAUAAACUCACAGAACCGUGGCUCACUAUUGUUUAUCACUCAUACGAAAAUACGAAAACCUACGAAUUUACGAAAAACCAAAUUUCGUACAUUUGUAACAUUUCGUACUUUCGUAAGGGAGUGGCGAGCAGUGGCGAGUCACGGAGUAUACCCGCUGAAGUGAAACAUCUCAGUAAGCGGAGGAAAAUAAAAAAAUGUAGAAGCUGAUUAACGCGGAUUUUAAACUGUAGAGGCGGAUUCACGCGGAUUUAAUUCCGCGCCGUUCCGCUUCUAUAAUUAAUUGAAUCUGCGCAUAUCUGCUUCUAUGCAUUCCCUGAGUAGCGGCGAGCGAAACGGGAACAGCCCAAACCUUGUCAGUGUUUCGCACUGACCGCAGAAAAACGUGGAAAGAACGCAGAAUAACGCAGAAGAACCAAAAAUUCUGCGUGUGUCUGCGUAAAGUCUGCGUAAGUCCGCGGCCAACGCGGAGCGUUGGCAGGGGGUAGUAAGAUUAACAUGCUGUUAGCAAUAAUAAGGGAAAGUUAUCAAUCGAUUUAUUAGCAGAAUCCAUUGGAAAGUGGAGCCAAAGAGAGUGAUAGCCUCGUAUGCGAAAACAAAUCGACUUUCUAUUGUUAGUCUUGAGUACCUCGAGGCAAAAAAACUUUGAGGGAAUCUUCCGGUACUAUCCGGAAAGGCUAAAUACACUUGAUGACCGAUAGUGAACUAGUACCGCGAGGGAAAGGUGAAAAGUACCCCGGAAGGGGGAUGAAAUAGAACCUGAAACCAUAUGCUUACAAGGACGCGAAGCUUGUGCUUUGCACAAGGAAAUUCCAAACUCCAAAUUCUAAAUUCCAAACAAUAUUCAAGCUCUAAUUUCAAAAUUCCAAACGGAUUUCCCGUUUUGAAUUUGUUAUUUUGGUCAUUGUGAUUUGUUUGUGAUUUGGCGCUUGUGAUUUGUGAUUUUCUCGCGCAGAGCGCGAGUGACGCGGUGCCUAUUGAAGAAUGAGCCAACGAGUUAUUUUGCAUUGCGCGUCUAAGUCCCAUUAAACGGGAUGCAGGCACAGGGAAACCGAGUUUUAAUAGAGCGCAUCGUUCGCUCCUCACUGCGUUCGUCGCUCACUUUACCAAUUACGAAUACUGACACGAAUUAAGCUAAUGGCUAAUAAUGUUAUUCGCCAUUCGCCUAAUUAGUUUUCAUUUGUAAUUAGUAGGCGAAGCGACGAGCAUAGCGAGGAGUGAACGAAACGCAGUGCGAGAUAGACCCGAAGCCAGAGCGAGCUUACCUUGGCCAGGAUGAACCCGCCUUAAUCGGCGGGGGAGGUCCGAACUGGUGGGUUGUGCAAAACCCUCGGAUGAGCUGAGGUAAGAAGUGAAAAGCUAAUCGAGCCUGGUAAUAGCUGGUUCUCUCCGAAAUAGCUUUCGGGCUAGCGCUCGCUAAAAAUUUUCUAGGGGUAGAGCUACUGGUUGAGGUUGACAGGGCGAAAGCUCGCUUCCUCAGUCAAACUCCGAAUACUAGAAAAUACGGCGAGUAGUUAGACUGUGGGGGCUAAGCUCCAUGGUCGCGAGGGAAAAAGCCCAGAUCGUCGUCUAAGGUCCCUAAAUUUUUGCUAAGUGUAAAAGGCAGUCAUUAACCACAGACAGGCAGGAGGUUGGCUUAGAGGUAGCCAUCCUUUAAAGAGUGUGUAACAACUCACUGCUCGAAUCGUUCGCUCCUCACUGCGUUCGUCACUCACUUUACCAAUUACGAAUACUGACACGAAUUAAGCCAAUGGCUAAUAACGUUAUUCGCCAUUCGCCUAAUUAGUUUUCAUUUGUAAUUAGUAGGUGAAGAGACGAGCAUGGCGAGGAGCGAGCGAUGGUUAGUGGCGCCGAAAAUGUACCGGGGCUAAGCAAGAUACCGAAGACACGAAUCGUUCGCUCCUCACUGCGUUCGUCACUCACUUUACCAAUUACGAAUACUGACACGAAUUAAGCCAAUGGCUAAUAACGUUACUCGCCAUUCGCCUAAUUAGUUUUCAUUUGUAAUUAGUAGGUGAAGAGACGAGCAUGGCGAGGAGCGAGCGGUGGUAGGAGAGCAUCCCAAACUGCGUUGAAGGUUACGACGCGAGUCGGACUGGAGUGUUUGGGAGGGAGAAUGUUGGCAUGAGUAACCGCAAAUUUAGUGAGAAACUAGAUCCCCGAAAAUCCAAGGUUUCCGUGGCAAUGGCAAUCAACCACGGGUUAGGCGAUCCUAAGGCAAUGGCGAGAGCCGCAGCCGAUGGACAGCCGGUUAAUAUUCCGGCCCUUCUGAAACAUUCGAUGGGGUGACGGAGGAAAUAAGAUUGAGCGCCUUAGUGGUUUGGCGUCGUCGGUCAUCAGAAAUGAUGCUCAGGAAAAUCCGGGCGUCUGCUUUUAAUGGCAAAUUUCGCGGACCGCCGUAAGGUUAAGUUUUUACUUAACUAAUUCAAUCGAAGAGCCUUCCGAGAAAAACCUCUAAGGUUAGUGUUUUAGAAAUCGUACCGUAAACCGACACAGGUGGGUGAGGCGAGAAGCCUCAGGGGAACGAGUGAUUCUUCGUUAAGGAACUCGGCAAAAAAGCGGCCGUAAGUUCGCGAUAAGGCCUGCCCAACCAAUGCUUCGCAUUGGGAAUUCCAAAUUACAAAUCCCAAAUCACAAACAAAUUUGAAAUUCCAAUUUUCAAAUUCAAAACGUUUUGAAUUUAGAAUUUUGGUUAUUAGAUAUUGUUUGUAAUUUGGCGCUUGGGAUUUGGUGCUUCCACUGCGGAGCAGUGGUUUGGGCUGCAACAAAAGUAUCUCUGGCGACUGUUUACCAAAAACACAGCUCCCUGCUAACUCGCAAGAGGAUGUAUAGGGGGUGACGCCUGACCGAUGCGAGAAGGUUAACGGUGCCGGUACUCGAUAUUGUAAAAUGUUGAGCGCUGAGUGCCCGAAGCCCUCGUCAAUGUCGGCAGUAACUAUAACUGUCCAAAGGUAGAAAUAGCGCGCUGCCUUUGUAAAAUCUGACUGUAUCGGUGAACAUCCCGCUAUGGCGGGACAAUACCGAGGCAACCCCGACGGAAUGUUGGGGGAGUCCGUAGAGACUAUACGUCAGACCGUAGUACAUAAAGCCUGAUGUGCUCGGAAGAUAUAGUCCGACCUCCGUGGCAACACGGAGAGAUAGACAGAAAUGUUCUAUCCACGUAACAAAUUUCGCGAAGUCCGCAAAAGUCAGCGGAGUCCGCGUUUGUUACGAAGUAACAUAUUUGAGCGCAAUUCCUUUUCAGGUAAGAGAACUUGCCUGAAUUCGCCGUGAGGUGAAUUAAAAAGUCGGCUUAUAACGGUGAAGUCCAUUUUGUGAUAUAAUUUACCAAUGGAUAAUACCGUGGGAAGUUUCCGCCAGUUGGCGAAUAACCCCGUAACGACUGAGUCCCGCAAAGCGGGACGAAAUGGCCCUGAUUUAUCAGGCCAUUACACGCCGACCUCUUUAUUGAGGGAAACCAGAAACAUUCCAGAAUAUAUUACUGGGUAUGUUGAUGGUGAAGGAUGUUUUACGGUUACCUUUAAUCAAAAAUUAAAGGCAAAUUUAGGAUGGGAAAUGAAACCAAGUUUUUCGGUAAGCCAGAAUGAGGACAAGCGUCAAGUUCUGGAUAUUAUUAGAGAAUAUUUUGGUUGUGGAUAUAUCCGUCGUGACUAUGCAGAUAAAACAGUAAAGUUUGAAGUGCGAGAUCACAAUGAUCUUAUGACGAAAAUUAUUCCCCAUUUUGAAAAGUUUCCUUUGCUUUCUAAAAAGCAAAAAGAUUUUGAGCUAUUCAAAAAAAUCUGCAAAAUUGUAGAUCAAAAAAUUCAUCUUACCAAAGAAGGAUUUAUUGAAAUUCUUAAUCUUGCAUACUCAAUGAAUGGUUCAGGAAAGCGGAGGAGGGCAAAAGAAACAAUCAUAAAACUACUUCAAUAAAGAUGAAGAUAUAGUCUGAUACUUAUCGUAAGAUAAGCAAACAUUUAGAAGUUCUGAAGCGCACGAAUGGCGUAACGAUCGGAGAACUGUCUCAACGAAGAGCUCGGUGAAAAUGCGAUUCCCGUGAAGACGCGGGAUACCUGCAGCAAGACGAAAAGACCCCGGGAGCUUUACUGCAACUUGAUAUUGGCUUUAAAACUUGGAUGCGUAGCGUAGUGGGUAGGGGAUGAAGUUCCGCUUUUGGGCGGGAUGGACCCGACAAUGAAACACCCAUCUUCCGAGUUUUAAAAUCUAACCUAUCCGGCAAAAACGGAUCGGGACAGUGUCUGGCGGGCAGUUUAAAUGGGGCGUUUUCCUCCAAAAAAGUAACGGAGGAGUUUAUUAAGGUUGGCUUAGUCCCGAUGGAAACGGGACUGGACGCGUAAAGGCACAAGCCAGCUUAACUGCAAGACUGACAAGUCGCGCAGAUGCGAAAGCAGAACUUAGUGACCCGACCAUUCUUUAUAGAAAGGUGGGAGACAACGGCUAAAAGUUACCCCGGGGAUGGAUCCUGAAAAAAGGAUCAGUUGUCCCGUUCCGCAGUAAUGCGGAACAAGAUUACGGCUUAUAACGGUGAACCCAAAAUUGGUCUUUCCUCGUUUUGCGAGGUUCUCGAUUUUGGCAAUACCGUGGGAAGCGAGCACAUAAAACAUUAUGCGCUUCGCCUCGUAACGACUGAAUUCUAUUUAGAUUAUUUUAAAUAGAUGAAGAUAGCAGCUUUUUUGUUGCUAUAAUACGCCGUCCCCUGUUAAAUAAUUUCGCCAAAGGCGAAAUUGCCGCAAAGCGGCAUUUAACAGGGUGAAGAUAUAGUCUAAUUGUGUUACUUCGUAACACCGCGGAACCACGCGGAAGAUUACGCGGAAUGUCGCAGAAAAUAAUUCUGCGUUAGUCUGCGUGAAGUCUGCGUAAGUCCGCGCUGUGAGCGAAGCGAACAGAUUGAACAGGCUGGUGAGGCCCGAGAGUCCCUAUCGACGGCCUCGCUCGGCACCUUAAAUGACAUUGGGGUGCCUCCACAAGUAAUUGUGGGUAAAAACAUGACUUAUAACGGUGGACUCCACAUAGUAAAAUUAUUACGUGGACAAUACCGUGGGAAGCGAGCACAUAAAGCAUUAUGUGCUUCGCCCCGUAGAGACUUCUCUUUGAUGUCAGAGAGAGAUGGCGGAUAAUUAUUCCGCCAUAAUACGUCAUCUCCAUUUUCGGAUGUCAGAUAUCUGAUAUCAGACUUCUGAAAUCUGAUUUUGGAUGAAGAUAUAGUCCAAGCUGUUAGUAAUAACAGAUUUUUGCGAUGUCGGCUCGCCCUAGCGCCCCGCUGGAGAAGGUGGGAAGCGUAUGGCUGUUCGCCAUUUAAAAGGGCACGUGAGCUGGGUGGGUUGGAAAAACCUCGAGCCCAGCAAAAGCUUUACUGGAGGUAAAAGUAGUAAAGCGAAAUAAACUGACUCAUAACGGUGGAGUCCCAAUGCAAAAAAUGAUAAAAUUAUGCAAUGGACAACAUCGUGGGAAGAUUACAAUCUUUUUUUUCGCUACAUCAAACAGUUUUACUUUAAGCACGCACUGUGAGCUAUAAGAUUGUAAAUCCCCGUAACGACUUGUCUGGCGGAAGCCGGGCAGAGUUAGAAAGCGCGACGUUAUCGCUUUCUAGCUAACACGUCAGCUUCGACAAAAGAAAAGUUGUCGGAGAAGGUAUAGUCUAAUGCCGCUCGUAAGAGCGGGAAUACAUUGUCAAACCGUCAAUUUGGCGGCUAUGCGGAGUAAUCCGCAUUAGCAAAACUGACUCAUAUCGGUGAAGUCCUAGCAUUGAAAUUAACCUGUCACAUGUUAGGAUAAUACCGAGGGAAGUUAGAAAAUAAUUAUUUAUUGCGAAAUGAAGGAAAAUUUAGAUAGUUUAUCAGAACGAGAAAAACAAGAGAGAGAAUUAAACGAGAUAACUACUGAACUGAAAUAUGCAGCCUUGGAAUAGUUGAUGCCGAGAUUGAAGACGAUUUGCUUAAAAUAGAAGAGUUGGCUAGCAAGCGACGAAAACUUAAGGAAUAUUUUCCAGAUUUUUUUGGCGAGCAAUAAUUUCUAACCCCGUAGAGACUUGUCCCGAUGGGGACGGAUGGAUAAAAAUGUCCAUAAAACGUCAGUAUACCGGAUAUCAGAUGUCAGACAUCGGCUAUCAGAUAUAAAUUCUGAAAUCCGAAAUCUGAAUUCUGAAAUCUGGUAUGUGGUAUAGUCCAUGCCCGUAGUAAUGCGGGAGAGAGUUUCGUAAAAUUUCCGCGAAGUCCGCGUUAAGUCAGCGGAGUCUGCGGUUUUGCGAAGCAAAACAUGCGUGAGACAGGUUGGUCUCUAUCUGUUGCAGGCGACGACACUUGAGGGGAGUCGACCCUAGUAAGAAAUUGCUACUUCCCGCAGUAAUGCGGGAUGACAACCUUCGACAGGCUCAGGUUAGCCUGAGCAAAGCCGAAGGCCAAUUCGGCUAAUAACGGUGGAAUCUUUAAUUUACAAAAGUGAUUCGGUCCGGAAGCUUUUGAUAAAAUGAAUUAAAGCUAAUAUCGUGGGAAGCCCCGCGAUGCGGGGCCCCGUAACGACUGACCGGAACACAUAAGAAUUUAUGUGUUCGGGAGAUAAGAACUUUAAAGUUCUUAUAAUAUGCCGACCUCCUAAUCCGUCAGCCGACGGAUGGAGGAAGAUAUAGUCUAUACCAUUAGUGAUAAUGGAUACAGUUUCGUAUUUCUGCGUAAGUCCGCGUUAAGUCAGCGGAGUCCGCGAUUUUGCGAAGCAAAAUAUGACGAGAGGACCGGGUUGAACGUACCGCUGGUGUGCCAGCUUUCCUACCAAGGGAACUGCUGGGUAGCUAUGUACGGAAGGGAUAAGCGCUGAAAGCAUCUAAGCACGAAGCCUACCCCAAGAUUAGGUGUCACGGUGCUUCGCACCGAGAUCAAAAAUUAAAAAUAAAAAACCAAAAAUAAAUGAGUCCGCCCUUGGCGAGCAAUCCUAUUUUUUUAUUUUUGAUAUUUUGUUUUUGGUUUCGAUGCGGAGCAUCGGGCGGUUCGUGGCAGACUACCACGUUGAUAGGCUCUAGGUGUAAGUACAGUAAUGUAUUUAGCCAAGGAGUACUAAUGACCG
Molecule: ribosomal RNA, 7182 nt
Filed under: Candidatus Harrisonbacteria bacterium RIFCSPLOWO2_01_FULL_44_18
Lineage: Bacteria; Candidatus Harrisoniibacteriota
Description: 23S ribosomal RNA
Rfam family: Bacterial large subunit ribosomal RNA (bases 1-4642)
Source: RNAcentral